Molecule: long non-coding RNA, 871 nt
Organism: Rattus norvegicus (Norway rat)
Lineage: Eukaryota; Metazoa; Chordata; Mammalia; Rodentia; Muridae
Source: RefSeq, a predicted model, not a curated record
UCUUCACUUUGUUGAGAGAGGCACAGCUGAGAACUUCUCCUGGUGCUCCUGUUGGCCCUGCUCCCUGCUGCUGACUUGUGCAGAGGCUGAGGCCUGGCUGUCUCUGCUAGGAGCCCAACUCCACUAACCUGGACUGCUGCUCUGUCUGUAAAGUGUCUGUGUGCGGACUGAGCUGCUGCUGCUGACCUGUGAACUGACCUGCUGACUUGAUUUCCAGACAACACAGACCGGAGUUGCUCUAAAGGACCUUUCUAAACAGCUCCCAGUGGCAACCUUUAGUGUUCCUGACUUGGAGGCUCUAAUCUCUGCCUUUGUCUUGGGGUUUCUGACCUUUGGACACCACAUUUCUAUAUUCUUCUGAUGAAUGACCCCUGUUCUGUGCUGAGAAUGAUCUGUGACUGCUGUCCUUUUGGUUUCGAAUGGACGGGGGCCAGCAUACCGCAGGACAAGGUGUCUGGGGGAACAUUUGAAAUAAAUUUCCUAUAGUCUGAGACAAGAACAACCAACUGCACGCAGGGCAAACCAACAAGAUCCUUGAUCCCAGAAUCCAUUCUGAAAAAGCACAAAAGGAAUACGACAACUGCCAAUAUAAUUUAUACUACAUUUGUAUAUUAUAUUAUAUUUAUAAUUUAUAUUACAACCCAAGUGGACACAUCCUGAUAAUUGUAUAUACUCACCAAACCACAAUAACAACAAAGAAUAUUUGCAUUCUCUGAAAAAUUCCUAUGUCCCUUGGCAGGGUCUCCUUCCCUGACACUGAACCCCAGGACCACUGAUCUUUUUGUGUCUUUAUGUCAGUUUACGUUUGUACAAAUGAUCUCACUGUACAAGAACUCAGUUACAUCUGGGCAAUGAACUCCUACUACGUGAA